GUUGAGGUAGUCUAACCAGAUAUUUGAUUUCGACUCAAAAGAACUUAACUAUAAGCCUCAAUA
This 63-nucleotide transfer RNA is filed under the name Ovophis okinavensis (himehabu). RNAcentral describes it as "tRNA-Arg". Lineage: Eukaryota; Metazoa; Chordata; Lepidosauria; Squamata; Viperidae. The record is from RNAcentral.